This 82-nucleotide transfer RNA is filed under the name Cladophialophora bantiana CBS 173.52. Its description in RNAcentral is "tRNA-Leu (TAA) (tRNA-Leu-TAA-1-1)". It matches the Rfam family "tRNA". From Rfam's summary of the family: Transfer RNA (tRNA) molecules are approximately 80 nucleotides in length. Their secondary structure includes four short double-helical elements and three loops (D, anti-codon, and T loops). Further hydrogen bonds mediate the characteristic L-shaped molecular structure. tRNAs have two regions of fundamental functional importance: the anti-codon, which is responsible for specific mRNA codon recognition, and the 3' end, to which the tRNAs corresponding amino acid is attached (by aminoacyl-tRNA synthetases). tRNAs cope with the degeneracy of the genetic code in two manners: having more than one tRNA (with a specific anti-codon) for a particular amino acid; and 'wobble' base-pairing, i.e. permitting non-standard base-pairing at the 3rd anti-codon position. Lineage: Eukaryota; Fungi; Ascomycota; Eurotiomycetes; Chaetothyriales; Herpotrichiellaceae. The record is from RNAcentral.
GGGAGGAUGGCCGAGUGGUUUAAGGCGGCAGAUUUAAGCUCUGCUAUCGAAAGAUGCGUGGGUUCGAACCCCACUCCUCUCA